Molecule: long non-coding RNA, 612 nt
Organism: Cyclopterus lumpus (lumpfish)
Lineage: Eukaryota; Metazoa; Chordata; Actinopteri; Perciformes; Cyclopteridae
Exons: 2
Source: RefSeq, a predicted model, not a curated record
UUAUCUCCACAUGACCUAGACUGGACCAGGUCAUGUGGGUUUAUCUCCAGAUGACCUGGUCCAGUCUAGGUCAUGUGGGUUUAUCUCCACAUGACCUGGACUGGACUGGACCAGGUCCCACCGAUGAGCCCGGUUCGCUUUACUGCCUCACACGAACAUGAUCCUCUGUUCGAAUGUGCAACUCUUGGAAUGUCUGAUUUUAUUGUUUUAUUUGCCAGAUAUACAGAUUCUCAUAACUGUUGCAUGUGUGAGACACUGUGAUGAUUUAUGGUUGUUAUUAUCAUGAUGAAUGGAAUGAGUGCAUUUAAUCAUCUGCACUGCAUUCUGGAGAUGAUUUCUGUGACUUAUCUGCAUCCAGGCAAGAAACCCUGGUAACCAGAUGUAAAGUUCUAUAUGUUUUUUAUCACAUUAUUUAUCCUUCAUUAUAUCUUUUAUUAACCCACCAUCAAAUAUGUGCUUCUCUUCUGCAUUUUAUUAACACUAUUUAGCAUUUUGCUCAUCUUGGUGUGUAUUUUACAGAUCAUUUAGCUCAUUAAAGCUUUUACGCGGUUUACACAUCAUGAAUGGAGAUGGAUGUCAUUUAAAUGUCCCAAUAAAACUCUAAAGAAGUCA